UACGUAGGGUGCAAGCGUUGUCCGGAAUUAUUGGGCGUAAAGAGCUCGUAGGCGGUUUGUUGCGUCGGCUGUGAAAACCCGGGGCUCAACCCCGGGCCUGCAGCCGAUACGGGCAGACUAGAGUUCGGCAGGGGAGACUGGAAUUCCUGGUGUAGCGGUGAAAUGCGCAGAUAUCAGGAGGAACACCGGUGGCGAAGGCGGCAUCCUGGACCGGUAUUGACGCUGAGGCGCGAAAGCCAGGGGAGCAAACGGG
RNAcentral lists this ribosomal RNA (253 nucleotides) under uncultured bacterium. Its description in RNAcentral is "partial 16S ribosomal RNA". It matches the Rfam family "Bacterial small subunit ribosomal RNA", at positions 524 to 776 of the family's 1533-position model. The record is from RNAcentral.